RNAcentral lists this ribosomal RNA (541 nucleotides) under uncultured archaeon. RNAcentral's name for it is "bacterial SSU rRNA". It matches the Rfam family "Archaeal small subunit ribosomal RNA", at positions 457 to 997 of the family's 1478-position model. The record is from RNAcentral.
GGCAGCAGCCGCGGUAACACCGGCAGCUCUAGUGGUAGCAAGUUUUAUUGGGCCUAAAGCGUCCGUAGCCGGUUUAAUAAGUCUCUGGUGAAAUCCUGUAGCUUAACUGUGGGAAUUGCUGGAGAUACUAUUAGACUUGAGACCGGGAGAGGUUAGAGGUACUCCCAGGGUAGAGGUGAAAUUCUGUAAUCCUGGGAGGACCGCCUGUUGCGAAGGCGUCUAACUGGAACGGUUCUGACGGUGAGGGACGAAAGUUAGGGGCGCGAACCGGAUUAGAUACCCGGGUAGUCCUAACUGUAAACGAUGCGGACUUGGUGUUGGGGUGGCUUUGAGCUGCUCCAGUGCCGAAGGGAAGCUGUUAAGUCCGCCGCCUGGGAAGUACGGUCGCAAGACUGAAACUUAAGGAAUUGGCGGGGGAGCACCACAACGCGUGGAGCCUGCCGGUUUAAUUGGAUUCAACGCCGGGCAUCUCACCAGAGGCGACAGCUGUAUGAUAGCCAGGUUGAUGACUUUGCUUGACUAGCUGAGAAGUGGUGCAUGG